RNAcentral lists this ribosomal RNA (750 nucleotides) under uncultured bacterium. Its description in RNAcentral is "partial 16S ribosomal RNA". It matches the Rfam family "Bacterial small subunit ribosomal RNA", at positions 34 to 773 of the family's 1533-position model. The record is from RNAcentral.
GGGGGGGGGGGGGUGCUAAACAUGCAAGUCGAACGGGGGCGUGAUGUGCGAGAGGGAUAGUUUACUAGACUUCACCUUUAAAACGCCCUAGUGGNGGAAGGGUGAGUAACGCGUGCUUAAAAAGCCAUAUACAGGGGGAUAACACUUAGAAAUAGGUGCUAAUACCGCAUAAGCGCACAGGGGCGCAUGCCCCGGUGAGAAAAACUCCGGUGGUAUAUGAUGGACCCGCGUCUGAUUAGCCAGUUGGCAGGGUAACGGCCUACCAAAGCGACGAUCAGUAGCCGGCCUGAGAGGGCGGACGGCCACAUUGGGACUGAGACACGGCCCAAACUCCUACGGGAGGCAGCAGUGGGGGAUAUUGCACAAUGGGGGAAACCCUGAUGCAGCGACGCCGCGUGAGUGAAGAAGUAUUUCGGUAUGUAUAGCUCUAUCAGCAGGGAAGAAAAUGACAGUACCUGACCAAGAAGCCCCGGCUAACUACGUGCCAGCAGCCGCGGUAAUACGUAGGGGGCAAGCGUUAUCCGGAUUUACUGGGUGUAAAGGGAGCGUAGACGGUUAUGUAAGUCUGGAGUGAAAGCCCGGGGCCCAACCCCGGGACUGCUUUGGAAACUGUGUAACUGGAGUACAGGAGGGGCAGGCGGAAUUCCUGGUGUAGCGGUGAAAUGCGUAGAUAUCAGGAGGAACACCGGCGGCGAAGGCGGCCUGCUGGACUGAAAUUGACGUUGAGGCUCGAAAACGUGGGGAGCAACA